UCUCCGUUGGUGAACCAGCGGAGGGAUCAUUAAAGAGAGCCUAAAAAACUCCCGCAAAACCCCAUGUGAACAUACCAUACGUUGCCUCGGCAGGCCCCAGACGCGCCUAGCGCGCGCACCCCCAGGGGGGGCGCGGCUGGGACCUGCCGGCGGCCCAAGCAAACCCUGUCGUCACUGAAUUCUGAGCUCGCAUGUAGGAAAUUAAGUUAAAACUUUCAACAACGGAUCUCUUGGUUCUGGCAUCGAUGAAGAACGCAGC
RNAcentral lists this unclassified non-coding RNA (259 nucleotides) under uncultured fungus. RNAcentral describes it as "sequence contains ITS1, 5.8S rRNA gene". The stretch from base 211 to 259 matches the Rfam family "5.8S ribosomal RNA", at positions 1 to 49 of the family's 154-position model. The record is from RNAcentral. Lineage: Eukaryota; Fungi.